CUAUUGUAUCGUCUGUUUCCCACGACAUGUCAUGAAUACGCCGUGUGAUACGAAAGUGUCUCAUAAAUUCACCUUGAGUACAAUACUAGAGAUAUGGCGUUCGGAUUUUUACUAGUAACAGCUAUAAUAGCUUUCGGAACAUAUUUUGCGACAAAAUAUUUUAUGAAUCGUCCAGAAAUUGAUAUGGAAAUCGAAACAGAAGCUGCUACCGAAACGCAUACGAAUAAAUAUUAUUUUUAACUUCACACUCUCUUCAGGAUAAUAGAGCACUUUUGGUAGGAGCCAUCAUGGUGUCCAUAUAUCUUGGAGGCAAAUAUCUAUUAGAAAUGGACCGUAUGAACAAUGACGUGCCUAUGGCGAAUUUAACUGGUCUAGGUUGAGAAACACGUUGUUUUAAUGUUACGUUAAUUUAAAUCUGUUAAAUUAGUUAAUUUUAAUUUAUUAUUAAUUUUAGGCGAAGAAAGGAUAGAACGAUUGUUGUCUGGAAAAUUGUAUUGAUAUGAUUUAUAAAUAAAAUGUUUCAGUGAAUAUGUCAUUAAUUUCAUUUUAAUCGCUAAAACGUCCGUAUAUUGACAGCCAUCUUACAUGAUUAAAUUUGUGUAUUUUAUCUUCAUUAAUUUUCAUAUUAUCUAAAUAUAAAAUUAUGUCAUACCAUUUAUCUUUCUUCGAAAAUAAUGUGGUAGAGUUCUUGAAGUUUGAUAUUCCUAACGUAUGUAUUAAAGCGGUGGUAAUCAAUAAUUAUUGAAUUGUUUUAGCAUUCGUGUAGAAAUAUUAUUAUAAUAAAAACAUUAUGAGCUAUGAAUAACGAAAAAUAGACAUUAAAAUGUCAGUAUAAAUAACACCAAGACCAAAUAGUAUCGUGAUUCAUUUGUUUUUGUUCAUAUUACAAUGAGCCAAACAAGAGUGUUAUUUUUUAAACAUAGCGAUGUUUUCACAAUGAAAUAUCAGCGGCUAUGAUUUUAUUGUUUAUAUUAUACUAAAUGAUCACUCGUUUGUUCAUCAGUCCAGUAUAAUCUCGGCUGUGAUUCAAAGGUGUUAUAAAUUAAUGUUAAACUUAAAAAAACGCUUUGACACAUUGUCUUCGUAAAGGUUAUGGAAGCUGGAUUGUUUUUAUUGACCGGAGUGCUAAUGUUUGGUUUGUUCUUGGUCGGUGAAGAUGUACGUAAAAUGGUAGAUAAAUUAAUUAAAUUAGAUGGAAAAACAGGUGACGGAUAUUCACAGUACGCUGAUUUCGCUAACGACUCACAAUUUUAAGGACCGAGAUUAUACUUAUACUGCGAUUUUUGUAACCAAAUACAAUAGCUGAGUCAUUUAGGAGAAAACUAUAAAUUAUUUUGAUGCUACAAGCUGGUGAUUAUUUACUAUGGCAGUGGGAAUUGUCCUCUUGCUCGGUGCCUUUGCUUUUUCAAUAUUUUGGACGACAAAAUUCGUCACAGAAGUUUAUGGUACAUCUAGUAAUGCUACUACGCCCUUCCCGGAUGUGACUCCGAAUUCACAUGCGGCAGAACUUAUUGAAUAUGUUGAAUAAUUAGUGAUUAAUUUGACUUGAUUUUAUAUGGUAUUUAGCAGCAAUUGAAGUUAUUGUAUUUACUCAUAAUGCACUAUAUCUAAUUUAACAAAUAUAUAUUAAGAUUACCAUAAUAAUAUGUAUAUGUCUGGCCGCCAUCUUUUAUUUGUGAACAGUUUCUAUCUCUAAAUAUUUUAUUAACGCUUUAACUGUCUAUUUUAAAACAUUAAAAAAAGUGAGCAUUUUACUUUAUAAUAAUGUAUUCCGAAAUGUUUCAGAUAUAUUGUUCACUAUUCGUUGGAUAUAACAUUAAAAUUCAAUAAAAUUACGUUUCCUUAACGUGACGGUAAUAAACGAUCUAACGGUAAUGGAUAUCUGGAAAGCGUUCUUGGUGCAGAGGUAUUAUAUAUCCCACACUGCAACCUAGGAAAUUAUUUAAGGCUUUUUAUUCAAAUUCAAUUUCGAAUUAUUCUCAUGUUCCCAGUUUGAAUAAAAAAAAUACGUUGUACAUUUUCUAUAUAUCCAUAUUUUAAGUUGCACAGUACUACAAUUAAUAAACGUCGUCCAACCAUCAAUAUAAAAAGGUAAGCCCGUAGUGGUACUAAAAGGAUUUUAAUCGCUAUAGAUGUGCAGGUGAGUUCUGCUAUUAGAAUUGGUAUUAAAUGUAUAUUUGAGAUCAUAGGCGUCUCAUAGGAGUGUAUGCCGCGGUCCAGUUUGACACAUGAGACCGAAGCCUCAACAAUAUUGCGUAACAGCUGCACCACACCAUGACAAUGAGUGCAUAAUGGUAGACUUGAACAGGAUUGUGGUAAUUGCAUAUUAAGCGAUUGAUAGCACGUGUUUCACUUUUAUUUAAAUAUGUUUUUUAUUUUCAAUCAAUAAUAAGACAUUCAGUGUUUUUAUCAAUUUUAUUAACGAUAACAGUAUUAACAAAACAUGUUUCAAGUCUUUUUAAAUUAUAUUAAAGAUUUAAACAUUAAAACAAUUGCUUAUUUAUGUACUUGUGGAACACUUACAGUUAGUCAUUAGUCAUGUAUUAAAAAUAAAAUAAAAGUAACCGAAACAUUUUUCGAGUAUCUUUAGAUGAAUCGUGCAAUCCAGUACCAUUUUCAUACAUUUAAACUUUAAAAUAAAAUAUUAAAAUUAAUAUAUAAUAUAAUAAUAUCAAUAAAUAUAAUGUUUGUUUCUCAAGCAGCCUUAAAACAAUGUGAGAAUUUGUCAUUCUUGUCCAUUUUAAAAAGCUUCGAAAAGCUUUAAAAAUCUAUCAGAUUCAUUUCUUCCAAAUAAUUCAAUUAUAAUAAUUUAUAAUAUCGAAACAAAAUAAAUAUCAUCAUAAUAUCAUUCAAUUUUGAAUUUUUUAUGAGGCUAAGUUAACUUAAAGUUAUGAGAAUAGUUAUGAUAUAUGUAAUUUUAAAUAGCACUUUUUUGCUUAAUUAGAAAUAUUAAUAGAUAAUGUUAAUCGCGAAUCAAAGCCUUCCAUCAAUUUUUUUAUUUAAUUGUACUAAAUUGGAGUGAUAUAAUUGAAUAAUUAACAUUGACAAAAAAUAUUAUAUUUAUUGAAGGUAAUAAAUAAGUAUUUUGUGAUGCUAAAUAUUGUUACUUCCUUAAGCUAUUUAGAUAUUUAUAAUCAGAAUCUACACACAAUGAAGAUACAUACCAUAAAUAUUAGUUAUUGUUGCUUAAUAACAGUUCACAAAAAAUGCCUUGAAUGUUACUUAAGUAAGUAAAAUAUAAGUCCGUUUUGACACAAAUCUAUAAUAUCUUAUAAGUUUUCAAAUAUAUUUGGUAACUACAAUUUUUUUACUCCUAAUUUAUAUAAUCCGUACAUCGCUCGAUCAAAAAAACUCCUUCACCUUUCAAAUUAGGUACAAAUAACCCAUAACAUUUUUUUGUGAAAAUCAUAUAAGGUAAUUUUAUUUGGAUCAAUAAAAAGCCACGGACGUUCAUUAGAGUGUGUGGUGAGGUGGAACAACAUUUGUCUUUGAUUGAAUUGAAAAAAAAAAAUAAACUUAGUCACAAAAACAAACACGAAAUUCUAUAGUCUGUGAUGAUGUCAUGUAUUUUUUUAUACUGAAUAAGUCUUGUUACAAUCAAAUGUAUAAAUAAAAAAAUGUAUAUUUG
Long non-coding RNA from Bombyx mori (domestic silkworm), 3628 nucleotides. RefSeq lists it as uncharacterized. NCBI's taxonomy places the organism in Eukaryota, Metazoa, Arthropoda, Insecta, Lepidoptera, Bombycidae. The record is from RefSeq and is a predicted model, not a curated record. The transcript is spliced from 6 exons.